This 475-nucleotide ribosomal RNA is filed under the name Bacillus thuringiensis. RNAcentral's name for it is "bacterial SSU rRNA". It matches the Rfam family "Bacterial small subunit ribosomal RNA", at positions 1074 to 1533 of the family's 1533-position model. The record is from RNAcentral. Lineage: Bacteria; Bacillati; Bacillota; Bacilli; Caryophanales; Bacillaceae.
GUUGGGUUAAGUCCCGCAACGAGCGCAACCCUUGAUCUUAGUUGCCAUCAUUAAGUUGGGCACUCUAAGGUGACUGCCGGUGACAAACCGGAGGAAGGUGGGGAUGACGUCAAAUCAUCAUGCCCCUUAUGACCUGGGCUACACACGUGCUACAAUGGACGGUACAAAGAGCUGCAAGACCGCGAGGUGGAGCUAAUCUCAUAAAACCGUUCUCAGUUCGGAUUGUASGCUGCAACUCGCCUACAUGAAGCUGGAAUCGCUAGUAAUCGCGGAUCAGCAUGCCGCGGUGAAUACGUUCCCGGGCCUUGUACACACCGCCCGUCACACCACGAGAGUUUGUAACACCCGAAGUCGGUGGGGUAACCUUUUUGGAGCCAGCCGCCUAAGGUGGGACAGAUGAUUGGGGUGAAGUCGUAACAAGGUAGCCGUAUCGGAAGGUGCGGCUGGAUCACCUCCUUUCUGCGGCCGCUUAUAU